This 701-nucleotide long non-coding RNA is filed under the name Monodelphis domestica (gray short-tailed opossum). RNAcentral's name for it is "lncRNA (ENSMODG00000038665.1)". The record is from RNAcentral. Lineage: Eukaryota; Metazoa; Chordata; Mammalia; Didelphimorphia; Didelphidae.
GAUUCUUACUGUGACUCUCAGCAGUUGGAGAUUGAGCUCCCCUGCCCUCUGAAGGCUUCUUAUCUGCCCUAUUGAUAAAAUUAAACUAGGGUGGAGCUGGAUGUGCCCUGAGGCCAAAACCUCGAGAAGGGGUUUGGGGCAAGAUGGAGAGUUUUAGUUGGGACUAGGCUGCCCUCUCCACUUCUGCUUUAGCCACUCUGAGACUGCCACACAUGUGGAAGCAAGGCAGUGCCUCCAGGCUGGAACCCUCUGGAGAUUCCAGCUAUCACCAGAGACUCAGCACAUUACUCCCUGAGGGCAAACAGAGAAACCACCUGAGAGAGAGCCUGUUUUUUAAGACAAUCCAAGCUGAACUUGUAUUUAUCCACCAUUAUUCUUCUUAUCUUCAUGUGCUCCAUCCAGUGGAAGACCAUGCAACAGAUGGUCCUGCCAGAACUAAGAGAACAAUAUAUAUGACAACAUUAUAGAGAAAAAUAAUUGAAAGUCUUUGGAACUAACUCUGGCCAAAGUAAACUGAGUAUAGAAAACUAAACAUGAAACCCACCACUCAUCUCCUGCUAAAAAGAUGAUGGACUUAGAUUGCAGAUGGAGACAUGCAUUUGGACAUGGUCAAUAUGGUCAUUUGUUUUGCUAGAUUGUCUAUUUGGUACGAGAGUUUAAGAUUUCAUUUGUGAUUAUUUGACUGAGUGAGAUGAUGGGAG